Long non-coding RNA from Aegilops tauschii subsp. strangulata, 2578 nucleotides. RefSeq lists it as uncharacterized. The record is from RefSeq and is a predicted model, not a curated record. NCBI's taxonomy places the organism in Eukaryota, Viridiplantae, Streptophyta, Magnoliopsida, Poales, Poaceae.
UGUUUUUUUGUUGAUUUUUCGUAGCUGUCCUAGUGUUUUCAGUGACCUAUUUUUUUCAGAUCACAGUUUUGAGUUCACAAAUUUUUGCAAGGCAGACCCUCAAAAUGCCUUUGCUUUUUGUAGGGGUACUCAACACAGGAUUCUGCACUGAACUGCCCGUUUUGAACUUUCUGUAGGAGGCUUUCUGCAAGAUCUCCAAAAUAACAACGGCUUUCCAAUAAUUAUCCACACCGACAGAGUUUUUUUGUCCGCGCACUGGUUGAAUCGGUGGAGCAGAGGAGGAAGAGAUGGGGGCGACAAGCUCGAAGCCCAUGGCGACCGAAAUCGCAGGCGACGAGCCCCCCGUUCGCACCUCUGCUCGGCGCACGAGGCACCCGCUGUGGACACGGGGGGCGAGCGCUGCGCGGCCGUCGAGGCCUGCGGCAUCCACACCGCCGACGACCUCUGUGUUGCCGAUAAGGCACCGUCAUUCGGCCCUGCCCGCGAGCUCUGCGCGGCUGACGGGAUCAUCGGUGUCGGCACCGUCCCGGAGUUCUCCGCAGCUGAUUCUUGGCAAGAGGCAGUGAGUAGCUCACUUUUCCCCUCUUCUCCUGCCUGAUUUUUGUUGGUGCGACACGCUCAAAAUUACUGCCGCACAGCUCGAAUUUCCGUGCUCUGGGUGUGCACAAGUAGGUAUGUACGUUAUUUUGAGCCACUGCGGCCCUGGAUUUUUUGUGAGGGCAGCGACCCUGUGCCUGUGUUGCCCUAUGUUUUGGGCUAGCCAGAAUUUUGUAUUUUCAGUGCUGUGAUUCGUUAGGAUUUGUUGUUGCAUAGGGGGUACAAGAGUUGAGGAUGCACAAUGAACUCACAGCAAAGAAGGCAUGCCGUGCUAGUUGUUUUUCAUUUUUGUUCAGUGCAUAUGUUGAGAGAGCAUGCAUCAUGUUUUCAGUUUUCUAUUUUUGUUCAGAGAGCAUGCAUCAUGUUCAGAGAGUUUGAGUUAUGAGCCAAUGUUCAGAGAGUAUGCAGCAUGUUCAUAGAGUUUGACUCAUUAUCUUCAGUAAUUGUUCGUAGAGCUUGCAUCGUGUUCAGAGAGUUUGACUCUCAUUAUAUUCAGUAAUUUCAGAUCGUCGUCACAUUUUUUACUGCUAGUCUUUCAUCUUCAGAGGUUGACUAAUCAGUCAUUGUUCAUUUUUGUUCAUUCACAAAAACUGUCUGGGUUUUUGCACUUUUUCCUGAGUCAUCUAAGCUUCUUUCUUGCAAAAAAAACUUCUACUAACAAGGCCAGGUCUGCGUGCACAUGUGGCCUUUUUCGUGUAAAAAAACAAACAAACAAAAAAGCCCAACAAAAACAAGCUCAGGUGGCGGGGGUAGCUGGCUGGAAGGGAUGGGCUGCCCACACGACAAACAAACUGGCCGACGCAAACAAACAAGCAUCCUUGUGCGGGGGUGAUCGGGAGCAACCAAGCUUAUUGUUUGUCAACAGCGGAUAAAAAUAGGCAGCAAUACUACAUCAGCAGUGGACUGGACCGAGUUGCACCUUUCUCUACUCCGAGCGCGUGUAGUCCUGCUUCUCGGCUGGUUCGUCUCGGUCACGUUGCCGAAUCAAAUCAACCAGAGCAUCUCUUCCCUUCAACCAAAAAAAAGCAGCAUCUCCCCUUGGAUUGAAAACAUGAAUCUUGGCGCACGUUGACCCUCCACGUCGGCAGCGCACGCUCGCCGAGGGGGAGGUGCAUGGUGAACGAGACACAACGCAGCCCACUUCUUUUCCACCCACUCGCCGAUGCUGCCUCAUCUUAUCCAUUCCCCACCGCAUCUUGCCACGGUGAUUCCCUUUCUGGGCGUUUUCGCCCGAGCACUGCACGGGUGGCUCCGCCGCCACCACGUUGUUUCCUCUACGGUCCGGCGGAUCUAGGAGGCGCGUCGUCAUUUCCACCGCAAACCCUCGGCAUCUAGUCGUCGCUCCACUGGGAGGAGGCCCAGGAGACAAGGCGGUGAUGAGGCGGGCGGCGUUUGCGGCAGAGAUGAGGGGGUUGCGGAGACGAGGUAGGGGUGGCGGUGGCGGAGAUGAGGCGACCGGCGCUACCGACGAGAUAGAGGGUGAUGGGGUGGUGUGCUGCAGGGGCGGCGCCCGCGCAGCCGGCCGCCGAGGCAUGGGAGGAGGUGCGUGAUGCUACAACCGCCUUCAUCGAGGUCCUCAAUGAGCGGCCCUCACUGGACCCAUCGAGACGCUUGGCGGCUGAGCCAGCGGCUCCACGCUCCUCGCCGUCGAAGUGACCCUACUUUUUCUCCAGUUCGAAGUUCCUUGAUUUACACGAAGAGAAGGAUUGUCGGCAGCUGGAAUUCUGGACCUGAAAAGGCUAUGUCAGAGAUACCUAUUCAGCACAACUCCAAAUGAGCUGAAAUUUCAUGGAGAAUUAUUUUGGAAUAUAUAAAAAUAUACUGGAGAAAAUAAAUAUUAGAGGAGGCCACCCAGGUGCCCACGAAGCACCAGGGCGCGCCCUGGUGGCUUGUGGGGCCCCUGGCCAGCCUUUGUGGCCCAUCUUCUUCUAUAUGAAGUCAUUUGCCCUAGAAAAAAUAAGGAGAGGGCUUUAGGGAUGAA